Molecule: non-coding RNA, 45 nt
Organism: Schistosoma haematobium
Lineage: Eukaryota; Metazoa; Platyhelminthes; Trematoda; Strigeidida; Schistosomatidae
Source: Rfam
AUUCAGCUGACGAGUCUUAAAUAUGACGAAACGCCCGUCCUGUAU